Molecule: long non-coding RNA, 2302 nt
Organism: Dermochelys coriacea (leatherback sea turtle)
Lineage: Eukaryota; Metazoa; Chordata; Testudines; Dermochelyidae
Exons: 3
Source: RefSeq, a predicted model, not a curated record
GGCCCGGGGAUGGGCAGAACUGCGGCUAGCUCUGGCCUGUGCCUAGCGCUCCUCCUGCAGCGUGUCGGGGUUUACAAAUCAGACCGCCUUCCCGUUUCGUAGCACCCGAGACUGCACCCCCCCACGAGACUCCUGUCCUCUCUGGGGAGGGAGUAGGUCUGACGGGACACGUUUUACACACACAGCGAGAGAGAGGCGAACAAGGCAAAACCACGCACACAAAGAGAGAGGGAGUCAUUGUCUGAUUCAAAACUAGGACUCCAGCCAUCCAUCCUACUUCUCAGGCCGGUGCUCAGACUACUCGGUUUCUCUUUUUAUACUCCAUGCAGAGCAAAGUUUUUAUGGUCAUGCCCUAUGGAAGGUCCACCGAGCAUAUGUUGCAUGGAACUCCGUUUUUGUACCUUGGAAAGUUGAGGGAUUGAGUUCUCUCAUUUUUAAAAAAAAAUGCCCUCCUAGAUUUCGAACAUUUCAGCAGCAGUCAGGUUAAGACGGUUUAAGAGAAUUUAAUGGUGUGGUAUGAAUCUUUAUUUUAUUCACAUAAACAAAUCCUAAUAAAUAUGGACUGCAUAAGGAAGAAAGAAAACUCAGUUUACUGUCCCAAACAACUAUUAGUCUUUUUAGGGAUUUAUGCAGUAGAGUUUCUGAUGGGAAGAAGCGUAGCAGCCGUGUUAGUCUGUAUCUGCAAAAAGAAAAGGAGUAGUUGUGGCACCUUGGAGACUAACAAAUUUAUUUGAGCAUAAGCUUUCGUGAGCUACAGCUCACUUCAUCGGAUGUGAUGAAGUGAGCUGUAGCUCACGAAAGCUUAUGCUCAAAUAAAUUUGUUAGUCUCUAAGGUGCCACAAGUACUUCUUUUCUUGAUGGGAAGAAGAUAGUCAGUCUCAGUAAAGUCCAAAUCAAAAUUCACUUUUGAUCAAGUUUCCUAUCAAACACUGGUCUCUCAUGCUAUAAGAUUGAGCGCUUCUAAAGACUUAUUAAAUAUUUUAAAAUACUUCAAAAAUUGUCUCCAAAUGAAUCCCAGGUGAAUGAUAAUUGGAUUGGCUGUCAAUGGGAUUUUUAGAUCCACAAAACAUUUGCCUGUUUAGAAUACACACAUUGUUCCUGGCUCUGUCCCUGACUUGGCUUGUGACCUUGUGCAUGUUAUGUUAGCAUGCAGAAGAAGGGGUUUGUGUGUUUGAAUGGGGACACGGUGAGAAUUAAUAGAUCAAGUCCUAUAUUAAAAUAAAAUAUUUUGCAUUUAUUAUAUGUAGUAUUAAUAGGUCAUCAUCCUUUUUAGAAAUGUUAGAUGUUUUUGUUUCUCUUUUCCUUUUCAAACAGCCCCCAUAGGCAUGCUUUCUGUUUUGGGAUGAUAUUGUGUUACAUUUUCUAUAAUAAAAAAUAUUUGAAGAUGAAUACUAUCAAAACCUCAUCAGCUCAAGACAGUUUAUUUGGCCUUUUUGACAAUAUACAUUAGGUCAAUACAAAAUCAAAAUAACCAAAUGAAAGCCUUCCAACUAUUGUUGAGAAACUAACUGUGAUCAACCCAGGAACUCUUUAGAUUCUCCUUCAAGAAGUGCUUCUAUGGGAAUCUUAAAACAAUUUAAUAAUGGUACAGAAAUAUUGAAUAUCCUUUGACUAUUAAACCAAAUAUUGAUAAUACCAAAACAAUACAGAAAAUUAAUGACAGAUCCAUAUUGGGUCACCAGGCAUUUACCCAGUCACUUUAGUGGAUUGGUACGCUUCCACGUCUGGUACAGAAUGGCAGCACUUUGUGUGCUCCACUGUCUGUCUGUUCUUGUGUAACAGGCAGAGGGCAUGAAGCCCAGGUCAGAAUUACCACUUGCUCACUAUGCCUCAUGUAGGGUGCUCAAAACCCCUGGACUAAAAGCCUUUCUAGUGCCUUAACAGUCUCCUAAUAAGCAGAGGAGAGGAAGCAGGUUUACACUUGGAGAGUAGUAGAAAGGUAGUCCUUGAUGCUCCUGUUUCCUUCCCUUUAUCAGUAGCAGCAGCUGCCCCCUUUUCAAAGACUAGGGGAAAGAAUCCCAUAGCCUUGUUUCUUUCUUCCAUUGUGCUAGAGAACCAGAAAAGAAUUUGCUGGUGGUGCUAAUCAUGUCAACUGCACUAGAGAAUGGGAGGCCAGGAACACACAACAGUGCUGUCCUUCCAUAGUGAUGGAGUGGAUUCUUUUGGACCACCAUUUCAAAUAGGUAUAUGCACAAAUAUUCUGAUGUACAUGUGCAUAAUUUAAGGUGUGGUCAUAAACAGUAUUUAGUGGAGUGCAAAGCUAUCUACUGUACUAUAGAAAAGGAAUACUUGUGGCACCUUA